CAUGCAAGUCGACGAUGAACCACUUCGGUGGGGAUUAGUGGCGAACGGGUGAGUAACACGUGGGCAAUCUGCCCUGCACUCUGGGACAAGCCCUGGAAACGGGGUCUAAUACCGGAUACUGACGCUCGCAGGCAUCUGUGAGAGUCGAAAGCUCCGGCGGUGCAGGAUGAGCCCGCGGCCUAUCAGCUUGUUGGUGAGGUAACGGCUCACCAAGGCGACGACGGGUAGCCGGCCUGAGAGGGCGACCGGCCACACUGGGACUGAGACACGGCCCAGACUCCUACGGGAGGCAGCAGUGGGGAAUAUUGCACAAUGGGCGAAAGCCUGAUGCAGCGACGCCGCGUGAGGGAUGACGGCCUUCGGGUUGUAAACCUCUUUCAGCAGGGAAGAAGCGAAAGUGACGGUACCUGCAGAAGAAGCGCCGGCUAACUACGUGCCAGCAGCCGCGGUAAUACGUAGGGCGCAAGCGUUGUCCGGAAUUAUUGGGCGUAAAGAGCUCGUAGGCGGCUUGUCGCGUCGGUUGUGAAAGCCCGGGGCUUAACCCCGGGUCUGCAGUCGAUACGGGCAGGCUAGAGUUCGGUAGGGGAGAUCGGAAUUCCUGGUGUAGCGGUGAAAUGCGCAGAUAUCAGGAGGAACACCGGUGGCGAAGGCGGAUCUCUGGGCCGAUACUGACGCUGAGGAGCGAAAGCGUGGGGAGCGAACAGGAUUAGAUACCCUGGUAGUCCACGCCGUAAACGGUGGGCACUAGGUGUGGGCAACAUUCCACGUUGUCCGUGCCGCAGCUAACGCAUUAAGUGCCCCGCCUGGGGAGUACGGCCGCAAGGCUAAAACUCAAAGGAAUUGACGGGGGCCCGCACAAGCGGCGGAGCAUGUGGCUUAAUUCGACGCAACGCGAAGACCCUUACCAAGGCUUGACAUCCCCCGGAAACGUCCAGAGAUGGGCGCCCCCUUGUGGUCGGUGUCCAGGUGGUGCAUGGUUGUCUUCAGCUCGUGUCGUGAGAUGUUGGGUUAAGUCCCGCAACGAGCCCAACCCUUGUCCCGUGUUGCCACCAACUCUUCGGAGGUUGGGGACUCACGGGAGACCGCCGGGGUCAACUCGGAGGAAGGUGGGGACGACGUCAAGUCAUCAUGCCCCUUAUGUCUUGGGCUGCACACGUGCUACAAUGGCCGGUACAAUGAGCUGCGAUACCGCAAGGUGGAGCGAAUCUCAAAAAGCCGGUCUCAGUUCGGAUUGGGGUCUGCAACUCGACCCCAUGAAGUCGGAGUCGCUAGUAAUCGCAGAUCAGCAUUGCUGCGGUGAAUACGUUCCCGGGCCUUGUACACACCGCCCGUCACGUCACGAAAGUCGGUAACACCCGAAGCCGGUGGCCCAACCCCUUGUGGGAGGGAGCUGUCGAAGGUGGGACUGGCGAUUGGGACGAAGUCG
RNAcentral lists this ribosomal RNA (1426 nucleotides) under Streptomyces pactum. RNAcentral's name for it is "16S ribosomal RNA". It matches the Rfam family "Bacterial small subunit ribosomal RNA". Lineage: Bacteria; Bacillati; Actinomycetota; Actinomycetes; Kitasatosporales; Streptomycetaceae. The record is from RNAcentral.